Molecule: ribosomal RNA, 729 nt
Filed under: Micromonospora sp. MBRL 210
Lineage: Bacteria; Bacillati; Actinomycetota; Actinomycetes; Micromonosporales; Micromonosporaceae
Description: bacterial SSU rRNA
Rfam family: Bacterial small subunit ribosomal RNA
Source: RNAcentral
CUUCGGGGUACUCGAGCGGCGAACGGGUGAGUAACACGUGAGCAACCUGCCCCAGGCUUUGGGAUAACCCCGGGAAACCGGGGCUAAUACCGGAUAUGACCUUGCACCGCAUGGUGUUUGGUGGAAAGUUUUUCGGCUUGGGAUGGGCUCGCGGCCUAUCAGCUUGUUGGUGGGGUGAUGGCCUACCAAGGCGACGACGGGUAGCCGGCCUGAGAGGGCGACCGGCCACACUGGGACUGAGACACGGCCCAGACUCCUACGGGAGGCAGCAGUGGGGAAUAUUGCACAAUGGGCGGAAGCCUGAUGCAGCGACGCCGCGUGAGGGAUGACGGCCUUCGGGUUGUAAACCUCUUUCAGCAGGGACGAAGCGUAAGUGACGGUACCUGCAGAAGAAGCGCCGGCCAACUACGUGCCAGCAGCCGCGGUAAGACGUAGGGCGCGAGCGUUGUCCGGAUUUAUUGGGCGUAAAGAGCUCGUAGGCGGCUUGUCGCGUCGACCGUGAAAACCUGGGGCUCAACCCCAGGCCUGCGGUCGAUACGGGCAGGCUAGAGUUCGGUAGGGGAGACUGGAAUUCCUGGUGUAGCGGUGAAAUGCGCAGAUAUCAGGAGGAACACCGGUGGCGAAGGCGGGUCUCUGGGCCGAUACUGACGCUGAGGAGCGAAAGCGUGGGGAGCGAACAGGAUUAGAUACCCUGGUAGUCCACGCUGUAAACGUUGGGCGCUAGGUGUG